This 99-nucleotide signal recognition particle RNA is filed under the name Alphaproteobacteria bacterium. Its description in RNAcentral is "signal recognition particle sRNA small type". It matches the Rfam family "Bacterial small signal recognition particle RNA". From Rfam's summary of the family: The signal recognition particle (SRP) is a universally conserved ribonucleoprotein involved in the co-translational targeting of proteins to membranes. The record is from RNAcentral. Lineage: Bacteria; Pseudomonadati; Pseudomonadota; Alphaproteobacteria.
GGAGGUCGGCUUGCGGGCGGACCGCUCGCCAACCCGGUCAGGUCCGGAAGGAAGCAGCCGUAACGAGUUUUGGUCCGGGUCGCUUGUCCGGUCUCCCAC